This 449-nucleotide ribosomal RNA is filed under the name uncultured bacterium. RNAcentral's name for it is "bacterial SSU rRNA". It matches the Rfam family "Bacterial small subunit ribosomal RNA", at positions 237 to 677 of the family's 1533-position model. The record is from RNAcentral.
CAUAUUAGCUAGUUGGCGGGGUAAAGGCCCACCAAGGCGACAAUCUGUAACUGGUCCGAGAGGAUGAUCAUUCACAGCGGAACUGAGACACGGUCCGGACUCCUACGGGAGGCAGCAGUGGGGAAUAUUGGACAAUGGGGGCAACCCUGAUCCAGCCAUGCCUCGUGUGUGAAGAAGGCCUUUUGGUUGUAAAGCACUUUAAGCUGGGAGGAGAGGCUAAUGGUUAAUACCCAUUAAAUUAUACGUUACCUGCACAAUAAGCACCGGUUAACUCUGAGAAAGCAGCCGCGGUAAUACAGAGGUUGCGAGUGUUAAUCGGAAUUACUGGGCGUAAAGCGAGUGUAGGUGGCUCAUUAAGUCACAUGUGAAAUCCCCGGGCUUAACCUGGGAACUGCAUGUGAUACUGGUGGUGCUAGAAUAUGUGAGAGGGAAGUAGAAUUCCAGGUGUA